This 62-nucleotide transfer RNA is filed under the name Bambusicaliscelis fanjingensis. RNAcentral's name for it is "tRNA-Phe". Lineage: Eukaryota; Metazoa; Arthropoda; Insecta; Hemiptera; Caliscelidae. The record is from RNAcentral.
AUUUAAUUAGCUUAAUUUAAAGUUUAACAUUGAAAAUGUUAAGAUAGUUUUACUAUUAAAUA